Molecule: ribosomal RNA, 303 nt
Filed under: uncultured bacterium
Lineage: Bacteria
Description: bacterial SSU rRNA
Rfam family: Bacterial small subunit ribosomal RNA
Source: RNAcentral
UGGAUUGUGGUGAAAAAGCUUUUGCGGUGUGGGAUGGGCCCGCGGCCUAUCAGCUUGUUGGUGGGGUGAUGGCCUACCAAGGCGACGACGGGUAGCCGGCCUGAGAGGGUGUCCGGCCACACUGGGACUGAGAUACGGCCCAGACUCCUACGGGAGGCAGCAGUGGGGAAUAUUGCACAAUGGGCGCAAGCCUGAUGCAGCGACGCCGCGUGGGGGAUGACGGCCUUCGGGUUGUAAACCUCUUUCAGCAGGGACGAAGGGUGACUGACGGUACCUGUAGAAGAAGCACCGGCCAACUACGUG